Molecule: ribosomal RNA, 508 nt
Filed under: uncultured bacterium
Lineage: Bacteria
Description: partial 16S ribosomal RNA
Rfam family: Bacterial small subunit ribosomal RNA
Source: RNAcentral
GACGAACGCUGGCGGCGUGCCUAAUACAUGCAAGUCGAACGCUUCUUUCCUCCCGAGUGCUUGCACUCAAUUGGAAAGAGGAGUGGCGGACGGGUGAGUAACACGUGGGUAACCUACCCAUCAGAGGGGGAUAACACUUGGAAACAGGUGCUAAUACCGCAUAACAGUUUAUGCCGCAUGGCAUAAGAGUGAAAGGCGCUUUCGGGUGUCGCUGAUGGUUGGACCCGCGGUGCAUUAGCUAGUUGGUGAGGUAACGGCUCACCAAGGCCACGAUGCAUAGCCGACCUGGGAGGGUGAUCGGCCACACUGGGACUGAGACACGGCCCAGACUCCUACGGGAGGCAGCAGUAGGGAAUCUUCGGCAAUGGACGAAAGUCUGACCGAGCAACGCCGCGUGAGUGAAGAAGGUUUUCGGAUCGUAAAACUCUGUUGUUAGAGAAGAACAAGGACGUUAGUAACUGAACGUCCCCUGACGGUAUCUAACCAGAAAGCCACGGCUAACUACGUG